ACUUAAAUUGAAGAGUUUGAUCAUGGCUCAGAUUGAACGCUGGCGGCAGGCCUAACACAUGCAAGUCGAACGGUAGCACAGAGGAGCUUGC
RNAcentral lists this ribosomal RNA (91 nucleotides) under Citrobacter sp. AATXR. RNAcentral's name for it is "partial 16S ribosomal RNA". It matches the Rfam family "Bacterial small subunit ribosomal RNA", at positions 1 to 87 of the family's 1533-position model. Lineage: Bacteria; Pseudomonadati; Pseudomonadota; Gammaproteobacteria; Enterobacterales; Enterobacteriaceae. The record is from RNAcentral.